UUGUAACUAAAAUGGUUUGGCAGUGAGCGAUUCUUGUUAGGGGAAGAUGCAUAGUAAAGGAUGGUCCACCUAUUAUUUUACUCUCGUUAUGUUGGUGUAUAUCUGGUUUAAUAUUAUCGUUCAAUGGUUUGAGUUUGUGUAGUUUUAGUUAAGCCAAGUCUAUGUGCUGCUUAUGAGAGUUUUUGUGUGUUACAUUAAUAAGGGUGUUGUUGUAAUAUGAUAUUACUUAGGACUUAAUAGUAAUGU
Molecule: ribosomal RNA, 246 nt
Filed under: Echinococcus granulosus
Lineage: Eukaryota; Metazoa; Platyhelminthes; Cestoda; Cyclophyllidea; Taeniidae
Description: partial small subunit ribosomal RNA
Source: RNAcentral